This 892-nucleotide ribosomal RNA is filed under the name uncultured archaeon. RNAcentral describes it as "bacterial SSU rRNA". It matches the Rfam family "Archaeal small subunit ribosomal RNA", at positions 21 to 919 of the family's 1478-position model. The record is from RNAcentral.
ACCUGACUGCUAUCGGAUUGAUACUAAGCCAUGCGAGUCAUUGUAGCAAUACAAGGCAGACGGCUCAGUAACGCGUAGUCAAUCUACCCUAUGGACGGGAAUAACCUCGGGAAACUGAGAAUAAUGCCCGAUAGAACAUUAUGCCUGGAAUGGUUUAUGUUUCAAAUGAUUUAUCGCCAUAGGAUGGGACUGCGGCCUAUCAGUUUGUUGGUGAGGUAAUGGCCCACCAAGACUAUUACAGGUACGGGCUCUGAGAGGAGUAGCCCGGAGAUGGGUACUGAGACACGGACCCAGGCCCUAUGGGGCGCAGCAGGCGAGAAAACUUUGCAAUGUGCGAAAGCACGACAAGGUUAAUCCGAGUGGUUUCUGCUAAAGAAACCUUUUGUCAGUCCUAGAAACACUAACGAAUAAGGGGUGGGCAAGUUCUGGUGUCAGCCGCCGCGGUAAAACCAGCACCUCAAGUGGUCAGGAUGAUUAUUGGGCCUAAAGCAUCCGUAGCUCGUUUUGUAAGUUUUCGGUUAAAUCCAUGCGCUUAACGUAUGGGCUGCCGGGAAUACUGCAUAACUAGGAAGUGGGAGAGGUAGACGGUACUCGGUAGGAAGGGGUAAAAUCCUUUGAUCUAUUGAUGACCACCUGUGGCGAAGGCGGUCUACCAGAACACGUUCGACGGUGAGGGAUGAAAGCUGGGGGAGCAAACCGGAUUAGAUACCCGGGUAGUCCCAGCUGUAAACUAUGCAAACUCAGUGAUGCAUUGGCUUAUGGCCAAUGCAGUGCUGCAGGGAAGCCGUUAAGUUUGCCGCCUGGGAAGUACGUACGCAAGUAUGAAACUUAAAGGAAUUGGCGGGGGAGCACCACAAGUGGUGAAGCCUGCGGUUCAAUUGGAGUCAACGCC